GACCCUUGAAACUAGACUAGAAGCAAGAAAGGAGUUGACAAGAGUGAAGAGGGCUUCACUCUUGCCUCUAUAUAUACUAUCUAACUAGAAGCCACGUGACGAUGUUCUAUAAGACCUCCAAUAUAUGUUGACUUUCUAGGCCACAUGCCUUUGCUUGCAAGGCAAGUUUUCUAUGGAUGGACCACGUAGUUAGCUUGUUCUUUAAGCUUCCAACAUGUGUGGCACAUGGCUAACUUGUUGACCAAGUUUCUAACCUAAAAGUCAACUAUAGACUCCUAUAAAGUCAAAGCAGUGUCUAUGAAGCUUUUAAGAAGCUUCUCUAGAAGAUAUUACACAAUUAACCUACUUUUAUCUACUUUUACAUACUUUUAUCUAUUCAUAUAGGUAAUUAUAUGUAUGUCCGUGACAAUAUGAUGGUGGUUGUUGUAAGAGGAAGGGUAUCAUAGGAUCCAGGGUGUGAUAGUGGGUUUGUAAGAGGACAGGUAUGACAAGAUCCGGAUAUGAAGGAGGGUAUUGUACAAGGUCAGGCAGGAUAGAGGGUAUUCUAAGAGGAAGGGUAUCGUAAGAGGCAGGGUAUUGAAAGAGGAAGAUGCGAGAUGCGAAUGAAAAAUUUGGGAACGAGAAGUAUUGGAGAGGCAAUGCGUGCAAGUUUGUCCACGGAGUGUUUGAGUAUCGGCCGCAUCCAGCUCGGUAUCAAGCACAGCCAUGCAAGGAUGGGUAAAACUACCGUUGUCGAGUAUGUUUUUUUGCACACACGCUAGAGUAGCUGCAGUUGGUGCCUACGACGCCACAAGCAGCAAAGACAGGAGGUCGGAGCGGAGGGAGUUACGUCGGGUCGUCGCAAGCUGGUGCAGCGACGAGCCACGAUGGGGCGUUCGGGUACGAGGGCUCGUCUCACAAAAGAGCAUCAGGAGGUUACGGUCUGAGCCACUCGUCGGGUACGAGAGCUCGACCCACUAAGGUGUAGGGUGUGUGGCAUUGCAAGCAUCGUCAUCCAGGCUGACGCUCGUCGGGCACGCGUAGUACCUAUCGCAGGUGAGCCCUCUGCUGUCUCCGUCGGAGUCGCCUCCGCCAUCGCCCAGGUCGGCAAAAGAAUGGAAAAAACUUGCGAGGUUAUUUGUGAGCGGGUCGAUGUGAGGAGCCCAAUCUUGGAUGUCGUUGCGAGCAACGUCAUAGCAAGCGAUGUAGGCUCACGGGCUGGGUGGACACGAGCAGUCGUCCGCGAUGCGAGUACAUUGGCGGCAUUUAGAUUGUUCGAACUUGAUGCCAACGGUGUCAAUACUAAACACUAGAGAGUAUCGGAUGCUGAACUUGGGGAUGCAUCCGGGAUCGGCACGGACGUCACCAAAGGGAGUGCGCUCAGAAGUCGAUGAUGGAGAUUGAAGGUGUACGUCUGGCAUCGGCUGCGCAGUGGCUGCAGCAACAGUAUAUGACGGCACCGUCGCCGCUGCAUCGGUGCUCAUAGAGCAUGCCCCGGACGCCGACGAAGGUGUCCAGAUUGUGGGAUUAGAAGGAGCGACGGCAGGUGAAGGAGAACGACGACGAGGAGCCGAUGGUGCUGCGGGCGGAGAGUGGUCAAAUCGAGGGCACCGCAGGACCUGGACCAAGUGAACGACCCGUCUGUUGGAAUUUAUUUUUGCCAAGCAGAAUUCGGUAUCCAUUUCAACUCUACACACAAUUCUCACAUAACAAGAAGAUAUAAUUCACAUCUGGAAUUAGGGUCUUCACACCCUAAUUAGGGUUUUAAAACCCUAAUUUAAAAAAAAUGAAAUCCAUAGUUUUGUAAAAUAAAAGCAUUUAUAGAGGUCUUUAAGACAAUGUAAGCCUCUCCAAAAUUUCAAAACAAAAAAAUUAGUGAUAAAUUGAGAGAUAUUUAGGAUCAAAAACCUCUAGGACAUCCAUGUAAUCCUAAACCCUAAACCCUAAACCUAGUUUGUUCAUAGUAGAGUUGUAGAUAGACAUGUAGAUGGCUUGAUGUUAAAAAAGACCAAUAGUGGUGCAUAUUGGAAAAAGGAUGGAAUGUAUGAAGAUCGUGUUGGAGGAGCUCGCCACUUCAUUCAAGAAUAUGGUGCAAAUUGGCGGAAUCAUGUUCAAUCCAUUGCAUAGGCUUAGAACACAUAUAAUAUAAAGUUAAAUCAUAUGUACAUAUGGUAUAAAUAUGAUAUUUUCUCCAAAAAAAAAAAGACAUUUAUCUAUAUAAAUUAUCCAAUAUAUUAUUAUAAUGUUCAAAAGUCUCUAUGUAUUUAUUUCAUAUUUUUAUAAUAUUUUUUUUAUAUAUUAAUGAAAGGCAAAUUUUGUUAUUUUAAAAAUCUCAUAUCUCCUAAACUAUUAAUUUGCUGAAAAUUUUAAACAUACCAUUAGAAUCAAAAGCAUGACAAAUAGGGAGGUAGGUCAAAUCAAAAAUUCAAAACAAUAAAGUACACAAAAAGUCAACAGAAAAUUGUAUCAAGUCAAACACCUUAUAUCUCAAAAUUGAAAAAUAUGUAUAGGAUUUCAAGACCAUCACUAGAUUCCUAGACCCUUAAAAUAGGGAGGUAGCUCAAAUCAAAACUUCAAAAUUCCUAUUCAUAUGUAAAGUCAACUCAAAAGUCAAAAUAGUCAAACACUUAAUACCUACAAAUAUAUGCACCUUUUCAAAACUUCAAGCACAUAUUUAUAAUUGGCAACCCUCAAACAAAUCCAAUGGAAUUUUCAAAAAUUUCAAAAAGCCUUAUAUGACAAAAGUCAAAACCCUAAACUCCAAGUCAAAGUAGCUAAAUCUUCCAAAGUAUAAACUUGUAUAGGAAAAGAAUUAUACCAUUGACAUUCUAAACACCAUAAAUGGGGAGGUAGGUCAAGUCAAAAUCCAAAAAUAAUGAUGCCCAAAAACCGGAGACAUCCUUGUAACCCUAAACCCUAAACCCUAAAUCCUAUUUAGGGUUUUCAAACCCUAAAUUACACAAAACAAAAUACAUCUUUUUGAAAAAAAAACGUUUAUAGAGGUCUUUGGGUGAUUCUAAGCCUAGGCAAAAUUUUACUACAGAAAAAGCUGUGAUAUAUUGAGAGAUAUUGAGGAUGAAAAACCUCUAGGACACCCAUGUAAUCCUAAACCCUAAACCUAAAUCCUAAACCCUAAGACCCACAACCCUAAAACCUGGGAAAUCCUAAACCCUAAAUACCAAAAAAUGAAACACAUAUUUUUGAAAAACAAAAGCAUUUAUAAGGGUCUUUACGACACUAUAAGCCGUGAAAAAAUUUCAAAAUAAAAAAACGAGUGACACGUUAGGAGAUAUUUACGACCCUAAACCUCUAGGACACCCUUAUAACCCUAAACCCUAAACCCUAAACCGAUCCAUGAUUUGUUGGGUCUCUUUCUCCUCCACUCCUCCUCCCUUCACCCAGACCGCUGAUUCACAUUGCUUCCCUUCGCAUGACCUGAACCUUCACCGUGAGGACAACAACCUGAACCGUCACCGUUUAUGAGCGGCGGAGCAGAGAGACUGGCAUCGCUACACGGGAGAGUUGGUCGUCGCCAUCGUUGUAUGAAUCGAUGGGUGACUACAUGCCUAUGUCACAGGAUGUGCAAGCGCAAUAUGUAAUUCGGUGGUGGACCUCGUUCUUACUCGCGACAAUGCACGAUGCAGAGGCGCCUUGAGAUGACGCGUUGGGUGGGGUGUACCAAACGAGCUACAACUUUUGGGGGUACGGUUUAGGGUUGCACGCAUUCAACAAUUUCUUUUGGAGCCCGUCGAGGUCAACGAUGUCCAAGGAUGAGUUUUCGAGAUUUUUGAUGGCAAAUGAGGAGUCGCAGAUCGAGGCGAGGAGCGGUGAAGGGAGCUUUUAUGAGGAGGCAGGAAGAGAGCAAGUCGAACAGACAUGCGAGGGUUGAAGUUGGGAUCGACGUCACUGCUGGGGGCCGAGGGAUCUAAUCGCUACGAUUACAGAUAUUUUUUGAUGCGUCGUUCAAUAAUUUUGUCAUCGAACAACGAGGACGAGGAGGCGUGGCUAGUGAUAGACAUGUACGGGUGCAAUCAGUUCCGGAUGUUGGAAUUCUAGAUGAGGCGAUGUAUGAGAGGGAGGAGCCAUGAUUGGACAGAGGACCCAUUCGCCCACCCGGGCGAGAAAGCUAGGCAUUGCAAUCCGUGGCGCUAUGACUACUCGGAGACAGCGUAUAGGGACUUUCAAAAAAGAGAGCUCUUGGAGAGGCAAUGCGUGCAAGUUUGGAUGCAUUUAAGUAUUUGAAUAUUGGCUGUAUUCGGCUCGGUACUUGGAUGUAGCUGUCCAAGAAUGGGCAGAAAUACCAUCGUCGAGUGUGGUUUUUGGUAUAUAUGUUGGAGCAAUUGCAGUGGAUGGCUACGGUGGCACAGAAAGCGACGACGAGAGACCGGAGCAUAGGGCAUCACGAAUGGUUGCCGCGAGCUGGUGCACUGGAGAGCUACGAUCGGGCGUCAAGGUAUGAGGACUUAUCUUACGAUGGACCAUCGGGACAUGAUGGUCUGAGCCUGUCUUUGGAGCAUUUGAGCUCGACCCACUGGAGUGCAGGGUGUGCGGCAUUGUAGAAUUCAUUGCCUAGGUUGAUGUUGGUCGGACUCGCACAGUAUCCGCUGCUGUUGAGCCCUUUAUUAUCUUGGUUGGAGUCGGUUGAGAAAUGAGCGUGGGUGCGGGGUGAUUAACAAGCGUGUCGAUGUAUGAUUUUGCAGAAUCUGUAAUGUGACUACAGGCGACGCUGCAGUAAGCGACGUAGUCUCAAAGGCUGCACUCACGGAUGGAUCAGGGGUAGGCACCAACGUUGCCUGCGGGAGUCUUGCAGAAGUUGAAGAUGGAGUUGAUAAUGACUCCAUCAACGAUAAUCCUGAUGGAAGGAGAGCUGAUGGUACAGCAGGUGGAGAGCGGACAAAGACAUAGGGGCGAGCAACCUGAAGGACUCUCUGGACUUGGACUAGGUGAACUACCUAUCUAUGGGGGAUUGCUUUAAGUAAGUAGAGUUCUAUAUGCAUUUAGAUUCCAUACACAAUUCUUUCAUGAGAAAAAAUAUGCAAGUCAGAACUCUAAUCAGAGUCUGAAGACUCUAAUUAAGAUUUUUAAACCCUAAAUUACAGAAAACGAAACACAUUUUUUUGAAAAAUAAAAACGUUUAUAGAGGUCUUGGGUGAUUCUAAGCCUUGGCAAAAUUUUACAACAAAAAAACUAUAAUAUAUUGAGAGAUAUUGAGGAUGAAAAACCUCUAGGACAUCCAUGUAACCCUAAACCAUAAACCCUCAACCCUCAAUCCUAAAUCCUAACCCCUAAACCUAUAAGAAGAAGGGUAUCAAGGAAUGUAGGGUGCGAUAGUGGCUACUGUAAGAGGAUGGAUAUUGUAUAAGGCCGGGUAUGACUGACGAUAUUUCAAGUGGCAAGAUAUCGUAAGAGACAUGGUAUUGGAAGAGACAGAUGGAAGAUGCAAACGAGAACUUACGGAACGAGAACUACUGGAGAGGCAAUGCAUGCAAGUUUGUGCAUAGAGUGUUUGAGUAUCGACCACAUCCGGCUUGAUAUCAAGCACAACCAUGCAAGGAUGGGUAAAACUACCAUUGUCGGGUGUAUUUUUUUUUACAGACAUAUCAAAGCAGCUGCAAUUGCAACCCACGUCGCCACAAGCAUCGAGGAUGGGAGGUCGAAGCAAAUGAGGUCACGUCACGUCACCGCAAGUUGGUGCAGCGACAAGCUACGAUGGGAUGUUUGGGUACGAAAGCUCGUUUGACAAAAGAGCAUUGAGAGGUCACGGUCUAAGCCAUUGGUCGGAUACGAGAGCUCGGCCCACUGGCAUGUAGGGUGUGUGGCAUUACAAAAAUUGUCGUCCAUGCUGAGGAUCGUCAGGCACGCAUAGUAUCCGUUGCCAAUGACCCCUCCAUUGUCUCCAUUGCAGUCGCCUUCGCCGUCACCCAAGUCGGUAGAGGGAUGGAGAAAAAUUUUAGGUUAUAUGCAAGCAAGUUGUUGUGAGGAGCGCAAUCUGGGAUGUCAUUGCAAGCAACGUCAUUGCAAGGAGUGCAAGCUCAAGGGCUAAGCGGAUACGGGUAGUUAUCCGCGAUGCUUGUAUAUCAGCAACCUUUGGAUUAUUUGAACUCGAUGCCAAUGCUAUCGAUACUAAGCAUGAGAGAGCAAUGGAGGUUGUACUCGAAGAUGCAUCUGGGGUCGGCACGCAUCCGCAAGACGGAGUGUGCUCUGAAGUCAAAAAUGGAGAUUGGAGGUGCACGUCCCACAUCGGCUAUGCAAUGGCUACAGCAAUAGUACACAAUGGCACCGGUUCCACUACGUAAGUACUCAUAGAGCAUGCCGGACACGCCGACAAAGGUGUUUAGAUGGUGGGAUCAGAGGGACUGACGAUAGGUAGGAGAGAACGAAGACGGAGAGUCGAUAGUGCAAGAAGUGGAGAGCAGAUAAAUCAAGGGCAUCGCAGGACCUAGACCAAGUGAACAACCUGUUUGUUGGAGUUUGUUUUGACUAAGUGAAAUUUAGUACGCAUUUCAACUCUAGACACAAUUUUCACAUAACAAAAAAAAUAAAACUCACAUCCCAAAUUAGGAUCUUCAAAUCCUAAUUAGAGCUUAAAAAUCCUAAUUAGAGCUUAAAAAUCCUAAUUAAUAAAAAAUAAAUCACAAAAUUUUGUAAAACAAAAGCAUUUAUAGAGGUCUUUAAGACAAUAUAAGCCUCCGUAAAAUUUCAGAAUAGAAAAACUAGUGAUAAAUCAAGAGAUAUUUAGGAUCAAAAACCUCUAGGAUAUCCUUAUAACCCUUAAAUCCUAAACCCUAAACCUGAUCUUUGAGACACUCUAAGCCUUGGCAAAAUUUUACAACAGAAAAAGCGAUGAUACAUUGAGAGAUAUUUAGGAUCAAAAACCUCUAGGACACCCAUGUAACCUUAAACCCUAAAUCCUAAACCAAGGAUCAAAAAUUUCUAGUACACCUAUGUAACCCUAAAUCUUAAAUCCUAAAUUUUAAACCUUAAAAUCCUAAAAAUCCUAAAAAUCUAAAUCCUAAAUCCUAAACCAGGUCAUAAUCUAAAAAUAUUGAUGUCCAAAAUCCGAGUACACCUUAAAUCCUAAACCCUAAAAAUGGGACAUCCUUGUAAUACCAAACCCUAAGUCUCAAUUUUUAAAUCCCUAAACUCUAAAACUUGGACACCUUUGUUACCUCAAAUCCUAAGUCCUAAUUCUUAAACCCCUAAAUCCUAAAUCCUAAACCUGGUGGCAUAGAAAGAGCUCUAAGAAGUUCUUUUGAUAUACAAAAAAUAUCGUUACAAAGAUUCUUUGAAAUAUGCCAUAAUUUGUACAAAGAUUAUAAAGAAAUACAAGAAUAACCAUUGUUGUGAACAACCAAGAAAUCAAGUAUCAUUUUAAAGCAAAGUUACAUAUCUAUCAUUCCAUGUUUCCAUAAUGUGUACAAAGGAGAAUUUUUUCCCCAAACACCAACGAGAGAACUAAUGAAAGUGAACAACAAUUGAUUUAGCAAGUUCUUUGACACUGUAGCAGCUUUACAAAUGAAGCGUUUGUUAGCAUCUCAUAAAUUGAAGGGAAAUGUAAUGUAUGCAAAAAGGUCUUUUGCUUCCCUAUAAGUACUUUGUGUAGGUAAAAUUAACACUUCAAAAGGUUCGCAAAAGCUCCCUCUUAGUAUCAGAUAUAAAAAUCUAAUAUGAUACUACUGUCAGGGACAAGAACUCGAUGAAAGCUAAAGAGUAAGUGAGACUUUUCUCAAAAAGAAAUAGGACAAAAUAGAAAUAUGUAUAUUAAGAAAGAAACUGGAAUGGCUAUUGCCAAAAUACAAGAAAACUAGAGACCCUUGAAACUAGACUAGAAGCAAGAAAGGAGUUGACAAGAGUGAAGAGGGCUUCACUCUUGCCUCUAUAUAUACUAUCUAACUAGAAGCCACGUGGCGAUGUUCUAUAAGACCUCCAAUAUAUGUUGACUUUCUAGGCCACAUGCCUUUGCUUGCAAGGCAAGUUUUCUAUGGAUGGACCACGUAGUUAGCUUGUUCUUUAAGCUUCCAACAUGCGUGGCACAUGGCUAACUUGUUGACCAAGUUUCUAACCUAAAAGUCAACUGUAGACUCCUAUAAAGUCAAAGCAGCGUCUAUGAAGCUUCUAAGAAGCUUCUCUAGAAGAUAUUACACAAUUAACCUACUUUUACAUACUUUUAUCUAUUCAUAUAGGUAAUUAUAUGUAUGUCUGUGACAUUACCCCCCCUUCUAGGGACGAGUUCCACGAGGAGCGGUGAUUAUAUAUUGAGAAAAUCUAAUAUGCGGCGAAUUGUAUUUGCUACAUACUCUGAUCUUUGUUCUCUUCGAAGAUAGUUGAUGGGUCCUCUUAGCCAUCGAUAGUGUCCCAUUCCAGGGCGAGAAGACCACCCUGUUAUUUGAUCACUGUUGAGGCCUUCAUAACUUCCUUCAAAUAAUACAUUUGAAACACCAUCAGGAGUCGUUCCUAUCUCCAAUAAUAUCACCAAACAUCGAGAAUCUCUUCCAAGGUCGUGAUACCAAACGCGUUGUAUCUCACCAUCUAUUCGAGGAAGAACAUGUCGUUCUUGAGGGUCUUCAUUUCGGUUGCGUCGUCUUGAAGGUUGUGACAAUCGCAAUGUCUCAUCCGGUAAGUCAGCAAACGAAG
This 8613-nucleotide long non-coding RNA is filed under the name Physcomitrium patens. RNAcentral describes it as "long non-coding RNA (PPAT_LNC001681)". The record is from RNAcentral. Lineage: Eukaryota; Viridiplantae; Streptophyta; Bryopsida; Funariales; Funariaceae.